CCUACGGGCGGCAGCAGUGAGGAAUAUUGGUCAAUGGGCGCAAGCCUGAACCAGCCAAGCCGCGUGAAGGAUGACUGCCCUACGGGUUGUAAACUGCUUUUAUAAAGGAGUAAACUGAGGCACGUGUGCCUUUUUGAAUGUACUUUAUGAAUAAGGAUCGGCUAACUCCGUGCCAGCAGCCGCGGUAAUACGGAGGAUCCGAGCGUUAUCCGGAUUUAUUGGGUUUAAAGGGAGCGUAGAUGGGUUGUUAAGUCAGUUGUGAAAGUUCGCGGCUCAACCGUGGAAUUGCAUUUGAUACUGGCAGUCUUGAGUGCAGUUGAGGUAGGCGGAAUUCGUGGUGUAGCGGUGAAAUGCUUAGAUAUCACGAAGAACACCGAUUGCGAAGGCAGCUUACUAAGCUGCCACUGACAUUGAUGCUCGAAAGUGUGGGUAUCAAACAGGAUUAGAUACCCGGGUAGUC
This 460-nucleotide ribosomal RNA is filed under the name uncultured bacterium. RNAcentral's name for it is "partial 16S ribosomal RNA". It matches the Rfam family "Bacterial small subunit ribosomal RNA", at positions 338 to 795 of the family's 1533-position model. The record is from RNAcentral.